Molecule: ribosomal RNA, 219 nt
Filed under: uncultured bacterium
Lineage: Bacteria
Description: partial 16S ribosomal RNA
Rfam family: Bacterial small subunit ribosomal RNA
Source: RNAcentral
GAUCAUGGCUCAGGAUGAAUGCUGGCGGCAUGCCUAAUACAUGCAAGUCGAGCGGUAGCAUGGCUUCACCGUUUCCUUGACUCACUUGGCCUUAUGCGAGUGGAUAGAUUCGAGGGAACCGUGAAGCUGAUGACGAGCGGCGGACGGCUGAGUAACGCGUGAGAACAUACCCCAAAGUGAGGGAUAACUAGUCGAAAGAUUAGCUAAUACCGCAUGUGA